AUAUUGAAUGAGCUAAAACUUUGGAACGAAAAGUGCGGGGGACCAUUUCCACCGUGAAUCACCAUGUUCACUUGGGGUGAAUCGUAUUCGAUCGUAGGGUUGUCUCCUCAAUCCGAACCCGACAGCUAACCUCGCAGGCAUGAAGGAUUUUAAGG
RNAcentral lists this small RNA (155 nucleotides) under Paenibacillus sp. RNAcentral describes it as "c-di-AMP sequence". It matches the Rfam family "c-di-AMP riboswitch aptamer (ydaO/yuaA leader)". From Rfam's summary of the family: This family represents a conserved RNA structure found upstream of the ydaO and yuaA genes in Bacillus subtilis and related genes in other bacteria. The ydaO/yuaA element is thought to act as a genetic "off" switch for the ydaO and yuaA genes in its native state. The record is from RNAcentral. Lineage: Bacteria; Bacillati; Bacillota; Bacilli; Caryophanales; Paenibacillaceae.